CACCAUGAACCUGACUUCUGGUGGACUGACGGAGGGACACGGGGUCCAGCUGGUGCAGAUUAAUGUUCUAUAUUCUCCGGUGCUCUCUUGCCAGGACGAGUACGUUGUCAUCCAGAACACAUCUGUCAGCCUCAGGUGUUCUGUAGACGCCUUCCCGGCCCCCAGUGUCAUACGUUGGCGACGGAAGCAUCAGACAAGACGUUAAUGACCGGAGACAAGUUCACAAUCGACGAUGUCCAAAUGACAGACGGUGGUGUGUAUAUAUGCACAGCUACAAACAGUAUGACAGAUUAUAAUGGUCAAUCCGGACAGGGACUGGAUCAUGCGCAGUCCGAGUGAAAGUCGUGUCACGUGACACAGUGGGAUGUCCAUAUCAUACCCCAAAAAGCCAUCAUCCCCUUCAACUUCACAUCAUCUUCAUCGUCGGCGGUGUUUUCGUGGUCGUCCUAGUGGUAACGGUCAUCUGCAUGAAGAGGAGAUUCCAAGGAAAAAGUCAUCACGAUGAAAGCGUCGAGAAGAACGGAGACAUACCAUUGACUGAAAUCCCGGGAGUGACCACGCUUAUCUACAAACAGAUGUGAUGGUGUGGAUCUCACUUCUGGACAUCGAAUGUCAACAGACGUAACUGUGUACUCACUUGAUUCCCUACAACUAUAGUUCCAUGUUUGAUAACGUUCAGCUGUUCACAUUUCACACAUUACACAGUUACAUGUGUUGUAUUUGGAAUUAGCCAUCUAACCCACUCAGCCAUCGAGGCUUCCACAAUAAACACUUGCCAGAGGGGUACACAAAGUAUGGGAUCUAGACUACCAAGUGUCCGAAUUUCAAUUUAGUGGAAUUCGCUGUGGCAGAGUGGGUUAGGUGCCUGACUAAGAGUGUUGGUUCGGAUCCCACUACCCAAAUCUGACCACUUUCUAAAUGAUUCACCCAUUACACAGCUGCGUACUCACAUCAG
Long non-coding RNA from Haliotis rubra (blacklip abalone), 955 nucleotides. RefSeq lists it as uncharacterized. NCBI's taxonomy places the organism in Eukaryota, Metazoa, Mollusca, Gastropoda, Lepetellida, Haliotidae. The record is from RefSeq and is a predicted model, not a curated record. The transcript is spliced from 6 exons.